RNAcentral lists this unclassified non-coding RNA (353 nucleotides) under soil metagenome. Its description in RNAcentral is "partial contains 5.8S ribosomal RNA, internal transcribed spacer 2, and large subunit ribosomal RNA". The stretch from base 1 to 120 matches the Rfam family "5.8S ribosomal RNA", at positions 35 to 154 of the family's 154-position model. The record is from RNAcentral.
GAUGAAGAACGUAGUGAAAUGCGAUAAGUAAUGUGAAUUGCAGAAUUCAGUGAAUCAUCGAAUCUUUGAACGCACAUUGCGCCCGCCAGUAUUCUGGCGGGCUUGCCUGUUCGAGCGUCAUUACAACCCUCAGGCCCCCGGGCCUGGCGUUGGGGAUCGGCGGAAGCCCCCUGCGGGCACAACGCCGUCCCCCAAAUACAGUGGCGGUCCCGCCGCAGCUUCCAUUGCGUAGUAGCUAACACCUCGCAACUGGAGAGCGGCGCGGCCACGCCGUAAAACACCCAACUUCUGAAUGUUGACCUCGAAUCAGGUAGGAAUACCCGCUGAACUUAAGCAUAUCAAUAAGCGGAGGA